RNAcentral lists this small nucleolar RNA (121 nucleotides) under Drosophila simulans. Its description in RNAcentral is "snoRNA:GD26626". Lineage: Eukaryota; Metazoa; Arthropoda; Insecta; Diptera; Drosophilidae. The record is from RNAcentral.
CCUGCCAUGCUGUCCUGCCAUUCUCCCCUCUUCCUGAUGUUUGAUUUGAUAAUUUAUAAUUAAAAUAAACAGACAAUGCAGGACAUCAUACAUGAGUGUUUGCUGCUCCGAAUCUGAAAGU